GACUGGGGGAGCAGGGGGCGGUCCGCGCGGCCGGGGCCUGGAGAGCGGGAUGGGGACACCCUCGGCCCGGAGCUCAGGUAGCUGUGGGGCCCGCGCCCACAGCACCCGGCGUCGGCGCCGACGCCCCGCUCGCCACCCCCACCAGUGACGGGAAAGCACCAGAUUAAGGCUGCCAGGGGCUCAGCUGUACUCAGAUGGACGGGACGGAGACCCGACAGCGGAGGCCAGAGGAGCUGGGCCUGCUGCACGGCCUCAGCACAGGAAGACUCCCUGAAGCCUCGGAAGAUGGACUGCUGAGUGUCCCUGAGAGCCAAAGGGUGGCCCCUAAACCCCUGGGGCCUGAGCUCAGCAGGGAGACCACCUUGUCCAUUGGCCUCCAGGUGACAGUGCCCUUCCUGUUUGCAGGCCUGGGACUGUCUGGGGCAGGCAUCCUUUUGAACUAUUUCCAGCACUGGCCCGUGUUCACGGAGGUGAAGGACCUGCUGACCUUGGUGCCGCCCCUGGUGGGCCUGAAGGGCAACCUGGAGAUGACACUGGCCUCACGCCUCUCCACCGCGGCCAACACUGGACAGAUCGAUGGCCCCCGGGAGCAGCACCGAGUCAUCAGCAGUAACCUCGCCCUCAUCCAGGUGCAGGCCGCCGUCAUGGGGCUCCUGGCCGCCGUGGCGGCCCUGCUCCUGGGCGCGGCGUCAGGGCAGGAGCUGGACGCGGCGGAGGCGGAGGUGCUGUGCGCCAGCAGCGUCAUCACUGCCUUCCUGGCGGCCUGCGCCCUGGGGACGUUGAUGGUCUGCAUAGUGAUCGGCGCUCGAAAGCUCGGGGUCAACCCGGACAACAUUGCGACGCCCAUCGCGGCCAGCCUGGGAGACCUCAUCACCUUGUCCAUCCUGGCUUUCGUCAGCAGCUUCUUCCACAAACACAGAGACAGUCGCUAUCUGACGCCGCUGGUCUGCAUCGGCUUCACGGCCCUGACCCCCCUGUGCAUCCUCAUCGCCAAGCAGAACCCGCCCGUCGUGAAGAUCUUGAAGUUCGGGUGGUUCCCCAUCGUCCUGGCGAUGCUCGUCAGCAGUUUCGGGGGGCUCAUCUUGAACAAGACCAUCUCCAAGCAGCAGUUCCGAGGCAUGGCCGUAUUUGCCCCCAUCAUUUGUGGUGUUGGUGGCAACCUGGUGGCCAUUCAGACCAGCCGGAUCUCCACGUACUUGCACCUGUGGAGCACACCUGGGGUCCUGCCCCUCUGGAUGAAAAAACGCUGGCCUAACCCCCGCUCCACGUUCUGCAGCUCAGAAAUCAACUCCACGUCGGCCCGCGUCCUGCUCUUCCUGGUGGUUCCAGGCCACCUGAUCUUCUUCUCCAUCAUCUACCUGGUGGAAGGCCAGUCAGUCCCAAACGACAAAACCUUCGUGGGGCUCUACCUGCUGGCGGGCCUGGUCCAGGUGACGAUCCUGCUGUACCUGGCGGAAGCGACGGUUCGGCUGACGUGGAACUGGGCCCUGGACCCGGAUGACCACUGCAUCCCCUACCUCACGGGGCUGGGGGACCUCCUCGGGACCGGCCUCCUGGCACUCUGCUUCCUCGCCCACUGGCUACUGAGGAGUGAAACGGCGCUGGAUGGCACCCCAGAACCAGCAUCUGGACCUUCCUAAGGAGCCCAGGAGAACCUUCCCUCGUGCCCAUGGAAACAGGGUAUGGUUUCUUCCCAGCCGGACCCCCAGAGAGGCUGACCCUGGCCUCUGCCAGUCAGCCGAGGACGCGCACACACUCUGGAGCUGCUGCUGCCUGAGGUCAGGAGCGCUUGCCGGCGAGGGUGCGUGCCCGUGUGGAGGGGAGGGCAGGGCGCUACGGCCUGAAGAUGCUGAACCAAGAGGCUACCUGUGCACUUUGCGGGGGCGGGGGGGGCACUGUCUGGAGCCCACGCAGCCGAAGGACACCCUCUGUCCCCGAGCUCGGGACGCUGAGCCUGGCUUCAGGGCUGUCGUCGCUCAGCCCUUCCCAGGACAGGGCCAGCCCGUGCCCACCCCCUCUUCUGCUCCCAGCAUUCCUGUCAGUGCUUGCUCUUUCAUUAGAACAAAUCUCUGCUUAUUUUAACGAUCAGAGGAGUGUAAAAUAAAACUGGAACCCCAGUUGCACCCCGAGGUGAGUGUGGGGUCAGUCCCAAUACAAAGAAAGACAGACAGGACGGGGAAUCAGCAAGCUGGACGGUGGGUUAUUACUACGGAUCAAAGGAAAAAUGUCAACUUUCCACGUGCAGCUGUACAAAAACUUUUUUAAUUCAUUCACUCACAUGAGGAGUUGGGCCCAAUGCCAGCAGGGACCUCAGUGCCCAGGAAACGGAAGUCCUGAGCACCUCAGGGGGACACCCACUGCGGGUGUGCGGGACAGAGGUCCAGCCGCACGGCCCGGACUCCCCUCCCGCAGGACAGGAGGCCGCCGGGCCUGGCUCCUCGUGGAGGGGCCACUGGAUGACCCGGGGCUUCGGGGAGCACCAUCUAGAGAUGGAAACACCCCCUCCCCCAUGCAGGACACAGAGAAGUCACGGUAGAAAUCAGAACCAGAAGCCCAAAAACUCAAGAGAGACAAGCAGAAUGGGCAGAGUUGGGAUGAUUCCCAAGCCUGAGAAUCAAAACAGCAUGUGAACAAAAACACUUCGAAAGGCACAAGGCAAAACACCGUUUCUGAGAGCCCGCGUCCGGCCCACUGACUUGUCUCCUUCUGCAGGACAGACCUCGCUCCGUGAAAACACACGGUCACCCUCAACAAUGCACACACCUCCGUGCUCAAAACGUGGCUGUACAAACCGCUGUCCAAUUGCCAUUAGAUGUUACUACCCAAAUACAGAACUCAAAUUCAUCACUUUAAAGGUUUAACUCCAUAUUUGGUCUGUGCAGGGGCUGCGACAGGGCCCGGGGGCCUCGUCACCCGUCACGUUCCCCUGACACCAGGCCACCUGGGCCACUAGACCCGGUGCCACCCCAGCUCAACCGCAACCCCCACCGAGGGCGGGGACAGCCUGUUCGCUCUCAGCCAGACGCUGCGCCCAGUGCUGAAGCCCGUCAGAGGCCACCGCGGAGGCUCCGUCCUCUUCCCUAGGCACGCAGCAAGCCCAGGCGGAUGCAGGCUGCGUGCACAGCCGAGCGGGGAAAAGGCACGCUCUGCCCUGAGAGGAUGGUACGGCCCCAAACAAACAGCUCCCUGAUAAACGUAAGAAAAACACUUGCGAAAAUGUACCCAAAGUCUCUCUCUGAAGAACGAGGCCAGCCUUCCAAGUGGCGCCCUCGGCCCAGGCAGAGCUGGUUUCACUGCAGGGCCCACAGGCCGACCGUGCUGCCCGAGCUCCACAUGUCCUCGGGCCCAGUGGCCCCUCCAGCUGCAGGGAGCACCUCCUGCGAAACCAAGCACAGUGGUGAGCUCGGCAACCGCAGCACAGCGCAGGCCCACACGCGCCCCUGGCCUCCCUUAGUUGAAAACGCUCGUUUUCCCCGUAUUUUAAGCGUAUAUUCCUUGAAGGAAAACAUUUUAGUAUCAACAAAACUAAGCACUAAGCAAAGGUGAACUCAGUCCUCUGCUCUGCGUUUCCUCAGAGAUGAGACUGUCCUUCCUGAACUUUGACCCUCCCCACUCGCUCUGGGAGCGCCCCCCACUCCCAGUCACGGUCACAAGCUGCCGUCCACGGCAUCAGUGCAGACGGGCUCCAGCCACGUGGCCGCACCACCACCACCCAGCCUGCCACCAGGGAACAGCGACCCCCUGCUCACUUGUACACGACCCUGAGAUGAGGAACGCCCGACGGAUGGAGGGGACGGCCGUGAGGCCGUCCAGACGCUGUGACCGCACGCCCUCCAGUUCACCCCCACCCCGCGCUCCGUUCAACAUUCACUUCUAACAUUACGGAAAAUGUCGAACAGCCCAAUUCGAAUAUAAGAAAACCAAAAUUACUGUUUGUUUCUUACAUACACGUUUGAAAUUGGAUAAGCUACAUCAUUAUUUUAUACCCAAAUCUCAAUUAUCUACUGCCGCUCAUACUCAGCCUAUUUCCCCACAGGCUAAAACCUGGCCCGCCCAACUUCCACAAUUCUAAAUGUAUGACCCUUGAAGACCGUAUUAAAUUCCACCCCAUCUACCAUGACGAGUGACUCCCAGCUGUACGCUCCACCUUUUAUGUCUCGAUCCCUUAGCCACCUCUUCCACAAAGUGGAGAAACACACUGGCAACCCACCCAGCGAGUCCCAUGCAAGGCCACCUCAGGGAGACACCUCUGGAAGCCGGAAGCUUCACGAGUCUCAACAAACCCAAAGAGCAAAGAGGCAUCCAGACCUGGAGGACGUAGACAGGCAUGACAGCAAGCAGGGGUUGGGAGACAGGAGGCUGCGGGCCGGGCGCCAACGGGAAGACCAUGUGCCCUGAGGGGUCAUCCUGGGAAGGCAACCGCACACGGCUCAGUCACCUUGGCCCGAGGAGUCCCGCUACCUUGAGACGCAGCAGAACCAGCGCACCCGCCUUCCAGGGGCGGCCUGAGGCCCAGCAGUGACCGGAGCCCUCCCCCAAGCCCAGCUCAAGGCCCAGCUGCAUGGCCCCACGGCCCGAGAGCCGAGUACACAGAGGUGCUCAAAGAGGCUGGGUCAGAGCCAUACAUCCUCAGCGUUUAAACCUCUUCUCUCCCAAAACCCUUCCAAAUCAUCUUCCAGCCCCUGGAAAGCGAGGCUGAAGGUGACAAUGUCCCAAGAGCCACGGAGGUGGGAGCAGCCGCAGCUGCAGGUCCCCAAUGGCCCAGGCGCAGCCCAAGAGGUGGCCAGACCUGCCCUGAGGGCCUCAGUGCGGCAGAGAAAAUAAGAGAGAAACAAGCUCAGCACCAUUUCCACACAGGCCACCUCCUCCGGGUGCAUCCUGGCACAGGAUGAGCACGCUGCCUUCACCCGGCCCCGUGAGGACAGAAGCCAAGUCCUGGGACCCGGCAGCACAAGGAGCCAGACGCACUGCCAGUUGUCUGCGGUGCGGCCACAGGACCUCAGGCAGGAGCAGGAUGGAGUGCAGAGGGCAGGUUGCAGGGGAGCUGGACACGGGGAAUGCGUGGGGAGUGACGGACAGGAGGGAUGCAGGACGGGGCAGGACAGCUCACGGGCUCUUACCUGCAGCAGCUGGACCUGGACGCACGGCAGAGCCACACCGGGCACUGCGAGGCUGCCCCACAGCCAGGCUCCCGGGCCGGCAGGGACGUCACCUUCUCCUGUGCUCAGUGCGGGCCCCGCGGCUCCUGAAACACACAAGGCCCCCAGACUCACAGCUGCUCAGCCAGAGGGAAGAGGCCGAGACCAGGCCUCCGCUUAGAAGCUGAGCAAGGCUCUCGUGUCUUCCGCAGAGACGGCUCAGGCCACACCGUCCUCAAGGGUGGAUUCCUCUUCACCCUCGAAGCCUGGGGCACGCGGGGUCCCUGACACAUGGAGCAUGACCAAGCUCACGGAAAAAGAAGGGAGGGAAGCCGGCUGCGUCCCCCCCACGCCCUGCUGCCGGCACCUCAGCACCUGCUAAAUGGCUCUGUCCAGCUUCCUUCGCAAAAAUCAUCACUUUCCUGGUUUCAUAACAACAUGCUUUUUAAAAAAAUUAAGCACAAAGAAGAAAGAAAAUAUCCUAACACCCAGAAAUGGUUUUUCUGACACAGGAACCCUGGAUUCAAGCCUGGUUCCACCACCAACUCUCCCUGACCCUGGACAGGUGAGCUGAGCUCUGGCCUGGGGCUCCCACUGCAGAGUGUGGGGAGGAUAGACCACGUGGAUGUGCUCAGGGUGCAGGACCGAGCCCAGCGCAGAGCGAGCACCCAGGGGUGGAGGCGCUGUCACUGCUGGGCAGACACAGGCAUGGAACGGCCUCACAAAGACAACCUUACGGUGAGCAGCAUAGCGGCAUACAAGCUCACUUAAUAGAAGCACCCAAUUAAAUGUUGAAUUAAGCAACGCCAAAAGAACAAAUGAGGCUGAAAGACUUGCUACUUCCAGAAAACAUGUCUUCAGGAAAACACCUAAUUGACCUCAAGUCAAAGAUGAAAAGCACGGGAGGCUGGCCAGCUAUUUAGGUUCUGUCUCCCUUCUGCCGGGCACGGUUGGCUCUGCUGCCCGACGAGCCAGCCUGCGGGCCCCAUCCCCGGGGUCUCACCGCCGACCCCCCUCCAUGUAUGUCCUCUGGGUCCAGCCCCCGUUCUCCGCCUGCCCCAGGAGCCUGACGCCCCUGCUGCUCCCAGCAGGACUCACUCCCUCCCCUUCAACAGGGAGGAAUUCGAUGUCCCCCCUGUCCUCCUGGGGCCUGUGCGGUUCCAGCCACCUCUGGAAUUUUACCUGAAUCAUCGUUACGCUUUGAAGCCUUUUAUCACCCUCAGAUAAUUCCCCGCAAUACCAAUCUGUACAUAAAUCGAAAUUUUACUUAUUUUUAAAGUUUUCUUAAAUAUAUUUUCUAGAAGUGAACAUUCUUCACCUGAAAAAGUGAGUUACCAUUGCAAUUAUCAGAAACGCAAACCCAGUCAAAAUAAGACAUUAAACUUUGAUAAUUAUAAAAUAUUAAAAGGAAAAUUACACUGAAAAAUGCAUCCAGAGGAGUGCACUGCCGGCCUGCUCCCAGGUGGCUCGUGUCUGCCUGAGCACUGAGACUGGUAAACAUACAUUGUUGCCAAUUAAAAAAAUGUCUUAAUAAAAUGCUCGUGUGCUUUAGUUUCAUCCCAACUAUUCAGCUGAAAAUUCAGCUCAUUUAUGUUGGACGAAGCCCAUGUAACGUGGUCAGCCUUACUCUGCUGAAGGGUCCGACUUCAUUUUUCAAUCCAAAUGAACAUACCAAGACAUGCUUCAAGGAAUAUCAUGAAACCACUAUGGAGUUAAAUUAAGGCAGGCACCAGAUAAUGCAUCUUUUGAAGUCAGUUUUAAAAGUAGGCAAGAUUUAAAUGAUGUAUAUCUAAUAUUAAUCGUGUAGUCAUACAGCAUAAAGAUGAGAUGAAACUGAGCCAUUUCUCCUUAUUUACGCUGCAGUGACUCAGUGCCAGCUGUGUGGGUCGCGCUUUAAGUUAUCUGUGAAACGAGAGCUAUGAUCAAAGCUUUGCUUUCAUUCAUGAAUGUGGGCACGUAUGCUGCUCAACUAGGGGGAAAUUGAGUAAAAAUCACAUGUACAAAUCAGAAAUAAACCCCAGUAAUUGUGUCUACACAUCACGAUUCCGCAUUUCCUUCAUACUUAACGGAAGACGGGUCCACACUGCUAAAAAGCGAGUAAAACUAGAAUAUCACUGUUAAUGAGACCAAGCGAAGUCAGUUUUAACUACUGUAUCAGCACACACCUAACCUGAAAGAAAUCACAAAAGUCCUCUUUUCAACGUGUACCUUCAAUCCAGUGUCUGGGAAUCUGGUGACCCCACAGACCCCAUGGCUACAUUUACAGGAAUCGCUGCCGCUGGCGUGAAGGGCUCGCUCUCGCCCGGGGCUCCCCGCCCCCAUCCAGAUUAACGACCGGCCCGGGACAGGAGGCCCGCAGCCGAAAGCGGCCCUCGUGCGGGCACCUGUGCCGCCCAGCCUUCCUGGACCCUCUUCUCCAGCAGCUCGACUCACGGCAGCAGCGGGGUCUGGGAAGCUGAGGGUCUCCGGGGAAGUGCGCCCCCCCACGGGCCCACCACACGCCCCAACUCCAAGCACCUCGACACGCGCCCCUGGGAGGCCUGCCGGAGGGUGGGCGGGCGAACUGGCCACAUCCACCUGUACAGGGCUCGUCCCCGGACCAACCCACGAGGCCUGGCCGAGGGGCUCGGGAAGACCCUGGCCUGUUCCGCACUCUCCUGAGGGGCGUGGUGAGGCUGGUGGAGACACAGCGGGCGUCUGUGGAGGGAAAGGGGCAGGAGAGCCUGCAGUGGCCCCCAACUUGACGCUAGGAGAGAACGCAUGGAGGCUGCGGCCCCGCAGGCCCCUCUCACGCCCAAGAUCCAGGCAGAACACCGCUGUCGGCACCACAAGGAGGGGACCCUGACCCCCACGGAGCGGGCGUUGCCCAGACUCCCUGCUUGAGCCAUCGCGGUGGGUGUUCUGUUACACGACCCCAAACGACAGACUGUGCCAUCGGGUACUGUGUCGACACUCAAGACGACCACAAAUUAACCCCACGCCUGAGCGUGACGGAGAAGUCCGUCUCUGCGGGUGCCUGAAGGCACGCGGAUGCAAACCGAGGGUCGCCACACGGAGUCCUCACCAGUAAAAGAUGCCAUGGCGCUAAACAUAACGUGACUCAUCUAAUUAAUAAGCCGAUCAAAAGAAAAAUCAAACUUCCUUUUCCACGGUGGAAAUCCACAAACUCUUACCAGGCAGGUAAUCUUCACACUGAACUGAGUAUUCUCCACAUUUAUCCAAAAUGCUGAUCUGUGCUGGGCGACUUUAAGGAAGGGAGAGGAGAGUAAAUCCAGCCAGCAGAUACGCUUCCACUAAGCAGACCUUAAAAGACCACCCUCUUUGGGCCUCAAACGGCAGGGUGAGCCGGACUCCACACUGCACACCGGACCCCUGGCCCAUCCGUGAACUACGGGACCCCCGGCUGCCCUCCCAGGGCCCAGCGAGACCAGGUGAGGCCGGCAGCACAGACCCAGCUCGGACCACGUGCGCGCUCACCCCAGCUCCACCGCGAGGCCCUCGCAAGCACACCCCUGCGCCACAGAACCUGCCCUCCACGCCCAGUGGGCGGGGGGGCCACGUGGUCACUCUCCACGGGUUCCUCGUCGGAGCCACAGAACACAGCAAGAAACUGCAGGGACCGCUCCCUCCAUUCCUGCAAGGAAGGAGAUCUGACAGGACACAGCAUGGACGCAGAGGCACUGGGGCCGAAUUCACUGACGUGUUCAGUCCUACACAGCUGUCGAGAAGAUACGUUAUAAAAACAUCAUUCACAAGGAGAGACAUUCACGUUAUUAACAGGAAAGAGCAGAGUAGUGUAUCAUUUCUUCCAAGUAAGGAUACACGUGCAGUUUAUGCACAUGGAAAACGACCACCAUCAAAACGAAGGACGUGGUCUCCCAGGGCAGUGGAGCACAGGCCAAGUAAGAAGCCACUUCCUUUCUCCCCGACUAAGCCAGCGUCACCAGAGCCACUCACCGGACCCCACGCUCUGCUCUGCGCCCAGUGUCCCACGGGCCCUCCCACCAUUUCUCUUUCCUGAAGACGCACCAGGAGUCUCACAAGUUCAUCUUCCACAGGAGCUGAAGCCUGACGGGGGGCUUCAGGUUCCUUUGGGAUUUUCAAGGAACUGAAUAAAAGAUGUAAAUCAACACUAGAGGCAGAGCGUUUCAAGCCAGGUAUGGGGAGGCCCUGAGCAGGCCUCAUCCAGGCCUGGCGUCCUUGUCACGGGGGGUCCCGAGACACCUUGUUACUGUUAAUGCCGUUAUGAGUGAGAUCCGUCUUUCGUUACUUUUUUCCGGAUUAUUCUAAUAGAAAAGCUACGAAUCUGAUAUUUGCAAGUUCGUUGUGCAAUCAGCUACCUAUCCUUCCCUCUUAUUUCUAAUGACUGGAGUCAGUUCCCUUGGGUUUAUAACCGUCAUCGGAAAGCCAUCACCGCUUCUCCCUACGUACCCACCCUCCUCCAGACUUCCGCAGAUGUGCCUAACGCCCCUGUGCUGUUGCCCGGCUGCCUCUACCCCACUGUGAUGGGAAACGACGCUGCCAGUCUGACUUGCUUACUAGGGAAAUCUCUCUGGUUCCUAAGGAUGAAGGUUUUAUGAUUUUUAAAAAUCAGCCAUAAGGACUUCCAUCAACUGCCUUGUUCGGCAUCGGUGAGUACACAGCAGUGCCCACCCCGACCCCCACCCGAGAGAGGCCGUCAUCCGGGCCGCGUGCUGGCUCCCCAGGAGCACCGCAUCCGCCACACUCGCGGUUGGUGAGACACGGCCUUUCCGUGUGCGACGUGGUGCCGCCAGGCCCCUGAAGACUUUGCAGCCCUGCACCGUGGGGUCCAUCCCCCUCAAGUUCCUACCCAGAAAAUGGGGCAUCAGUAGCCACGCCUCAGGCUGCCGUGAGGACGUGGAGAGGGAACGGGGUGUGGGGGAGCCCAGGACACAGGGCAUAGGACCAGCCCUCGUCUACGAGGAACUCUGUGGGACACCGGGCGGGACGGGGCACCCGUGUGCCGAAGCUCACGCUGCUGGCCGUGCACCAAGUACAGGCGUAUGUGUUUCCAGGGACGUACAGACGAGCCCACACCCACACGCGCUGAUGAGGGAGCAAGGGCACCCUGCCAACACCAAGGGGCCGAGGGGCCCUCAGCGAGGUCUGUGGUCACAGAAGCAGCUGCAACAUCACUGCCCCUCAGAGGUGCUUCUCGCCGGGGGUCGGUCGGGGCCCAGUGGCACGCAGGGACGCUGUGGUGUGGCACCCAGAGGGGCUCCAUGCAGGCAACAGGGACGUGGGUAACGGUGCACUAAAGCACAGCAGCACCUCAGGCGGGCACUGCCGCCCCAGAGUCCAGGAGGGGGACAGCCACACAGGGCCAGAACCACGGCAGGGCCGCCCCGCAGGAACGGGCCAGGGAACACAGCGCGAGCGAGGUCCUGGUCCCCUCCUCCUGCCCCGCUCCCAGGACGGGAAGGCCAAGCUGGGCCCACUGGGAAGGGCAAGGUGAGGACCCACCCAGAAAGGUGGAUGGACCCGCAGAGCGAGCCAGGGCCGUGCACCGCGCAGGCAGGCCUGCCGGGCGCACAGCCAGCCAGGCCCAGGGCCGGUGGAGGGGGCGGUCUACGCGGACGGGAGUCCUCCGCCCAACCGCAAAGCCGGGGCCUGAAGCACACACAGCCCUGCCCGCUGCUCUCCUUAAUCUGCUCCCACGGCUGUACGGAUGGUCUGUGAGCAUGAACCGUGAGCGCCCGGCGAGACCCACAGCCUUCCCUGCACGCUCUUCAGUCCCGCGCCCACCCCCGCCCCGGAUCUGCGUCCUGCCUGGGUCGCAGGGUCCCCCGAGGCCCUCACGCAUCGCGGAACGGGCAGAGCUGCCCUCGCCGCUGGUCAGAGGGUGUGCUCAGCGGCCCGGCCCCGCCGGCCCGGGGCACCCACACCAGCACCAUGCUGACCUCGGUGGGGGACCCCAAGAAGCCCCUGCUCUCCUUGCCUGCGCCGUGUCCCUAUGGCUUACUUUCACAAGGACAGGUGGAAGAAUCCUUUAGAAAAUACCACAUCCCUCUUCUAAUCACGCUCUCAUGAGAGCCCAGUUCUGACAGUGACCCAGAGGCCCCAGCGGCCUGGCCUCCUGCUGGCACCGAGCUCGUUCCCAAAACGCUCCCAGCCAGCUGCUCUGGACAAAGGGCCCGUGCUGAGCACACCCUCCGGACCCGGGCCUCGCCAGAACGGCCCUUCACCCGCACAUGCCCACACGGGCCUCUGUCCCACGCGAGCCUGCGAAGCCUCGUGGGCCGGCUCCUCGUGAUGCCCACACCCCUCCUGACUUACUGUCUUCCUUGAUGACUGUGACCGCAGGAGCCUCCUCCCCGCAGCGUCUCAGGCCAGCUCUGUCCCCUCCCUUUCAGGUCCCGCCCACUUAGGAAACAUCCUCCUUGUGAAGGGCGCCUUCUCCACUGUCCUUCCUCCAAGCUGCGGCCACAAAGGGCACUCCUGCGGCUGAAACGGCGCACUUGGAGAAGGCUGGGGCCCGAGAGGCUGCCUGCUCAAGUUCACGCCACCACACGGCCACCUGCUCCUCCUGGAAGUCUCUGACCAGCUCCUAUUUCUUCUUUCACCCAAGAGUUUUUACUAAGUUUUAUUUUGUUUUCCAAGUGAUUAUUACUAUGUUUUACCACAUUACGGUCAAAAACAUGUAGUACCAAGCUGUUUUUUCCUAGACUUUGCUAUGGUUUUCCUGACGCCUAAUUUGUUCCGUUCAAUUUAUAUAAAUAUUCCACUGUCAUGGAGUAGAAUCUAUUACAACAACUUUACUAAUCCCACUGUAAACAUAUUUUACAUCUUUAUUUUUUCUGCUUGUUCUGCAAAUAAUUAAAUUAACAAAUUCCAAUACUGCCAGGUUUUUAUCCAGUUCUCCUGGAGUUCCCUCUGUGCUUACUUCAUAUUGUUCGCUACUGUAAGUUUUCAUAUAAAUGUUCAUACAAACGGUCACAAGUCAUGGUAAGACCGUCGAUUAUGUGUGAACAGCAACUAAAAAUAGGAAAAGCCUUCUCUGUCCCAAUUGUUUUUCUUUGAAUUCUAUGCUUCCGAUAUUAGUAUUAACCCCUGCUUUGUAACUUUUGUUUUUUGUUUUGCUCUAUCUUGUCUUAAUUUUAACCUUCUAAAUACUCCCGUCCACAAUAUGUCUCUUCUGGACAUCGUGUGGUUGGGGUUUUGCUUUCUGUCUCAGUCAGAACAGUGGGGGAGUCCCACUCAUUUACGUUUUCACUGUCACACAGACGUGUGUGUUCUGCUGGUUACACCUCCUCCAGUGGGCACCAUGCUUUCCUCCCUUCCCUGCCCUUAAAGAGCAGAACGUGCACAUCCGUUCACAGUUCUGAAGUUGGGUACAUUUUUUUUUUAAGCUUAUUUUGCUAACUGUCAGCUUCAAGAAUAAAAGUUUCUCUUUUACGUUGAGAAAAUAUUCUCGGUUUGAGGGGGGAGCCUCAGCACUCAAUAGCAACCCAAUGGCAACAGUGCUGGAUUUUAGACCCCAUGUCCACUUUUCAAAGCGUUCAGACUACGCACUCCCUAAGAACCAACGGGUGCGCUGCACUGAACCGCGGCGACACCGCGAAGCCACAGUGCUUACACGACUCGACUCCACCAGCACUCCUGCUGCUGCAGCUUCUCUACUCUUGGACCUAUUACACCACAUCCCGAAACCCAGGAGGUCCCCAAACCCAGGUUUCUCCCAAGUUUGGUGCCAAAAAGAAUGUAGCAGCAACACGCGACCCAAAAGCACGUGAAGACACUUCACGGUCUCACUGACUCACUUAAGUGAACGCGUUUCACUAAAAAGCCAACAGCAGAACUAGGCGUGGUGAGAAACACAGAGUGUGUGUGCCACACUCCCACCCUGAAACGCAACACGCUCUGAAUCCGGAGCACAGCAGCGUGGGCUCACACGCAUGAAUCUGCUUCCCGGCACAGCGUCCCGAGGCAGCAGCGCCCUGGGGCAACAGGCAGCAGCACAACCUGCACCCAGCGUGGGAACGGACGCCCUGAGAAGCGGCUGCUCCAGGGCUGGGCCUGGUGGUGGCAACAAGUGAGGGGCGUGCCCGGCAGGAGGGCACAAGAAUCCACCAGAAGAGCGGCCAGCGGCCAAGUCAACACGGAAGGGAUCGAUCACAACCAGCACCAGUGACGUUACACUGAAGGACGACGUCAGUGUCUUCCAGCCUGUACUGAUACAGCAUCGAUUAUAACCAGCACC
This is a non-coding RNA of Globicephala melas (long-finned pilot whale), 13359 nucleotides long. NCBI's taxonomy places the organism in Eukaryota, Metazoa, Chordata, Mammalia, Artiodactyla, Delphinidae. The record is from RefSeq and is a predicted model, not a curated record.